GUCAAAUAAUACUGAAUUUUGAGGUAAUUUCUCUUUCAUUCACAAAUAAUGUAGUGUUUUGACAAACAAAUGCUGCCUGAUACUGUGGUAGUUACUACUGUGGUGUCUGUUAUUGUGUUAGGUUGAGGAGGUUGACCUCCCCCAGACAUUAAUUUGUCUUGUAUUUAAUCUCUGUCUCUGUAGUAAAUGCCAGGGAAGUGUCUUUGUCUCAGGCAUGCCAGCACCACCACAUCCAUGCCCUCAGCCAAUGCCAGAGGAGAGUGAUCUGGGCUAUGAUGUGUGCUGCAAGAGCAGAAGUGUUGUUAAAAAAAUGCAAACCCCUCCACUUGCCAAGAUGCAUAUGUACUUAGCUAUUUACAGCUUUAAAUGAGAAAAUAAGCCUUCUUAGAAUUCUGAAAAUGUUGAAUUUGUUUUUCCCAGCUGGAGAGUGGUGUUUGCUUCAUUUUACAAAUAUGUCUAUGUCAGAAUGUUCUUCAGCAUUUUGCCAGGAGUCUGUGCUGCACGCUAUGGAGUUCAAUGGAAGGAAAGGGGAUUGACUGACUCUCCCUUUGGCAACCGCUUCAUCCACCUGAUGAUUGAAACAGACCUGGUGAUUUUAGGACAUGAUUAUUCCUGUGGAGAUAAAAGAAGAACAGAUGAUUAAACAGUGAAUCCUAAGAUUUCUCCAUUCUUCUUUUUUGUGUAUUCCUAACAGUUGCACACGAAAGGUGACCUUCCUUCUGAAAUUUUUCUGCAUCAUAUGCCUAGGACUGCUGUUUGGUUCAUAUGAGUUCAGACGACCAUCGUGCACAGAGAAAAUGACAACUUGUUCCAAAAUUUCAGUGCUGGGGAUUUCAGUUUUCUGGUUAGAUUAUUAUUUUUUUUUUUUCCCCAGUAAAAAUGGAAUACAGAAAACCAGGACAUAUUAAAGAAAUGGAAUUUCUUUC
This is a long non-coding RNA of Oxyura jamaicensis (ruddy duck), 926 nucleotides long. RefSeq lists it as uncharacterized. NCBI's taxonomy places the organism in Eukaryota, Metazoa, Chordata, Aves, Anseriformes, Anatidae. The record is from RefSeq and is a predicted model, not a curated record. The transcript has 2 exons.